CGGAGAUUCAGCAAUGGAUCUUAGUGGCGAACGGGUGAGUAACGCGUAGGCAAUCUGCCUUCUAGAUGGGGACAACAUCCCGAAAGGGGUGCUAAUACCGAAUGUUGUACCGUUUCCGCAUGGAGAUGAUACUAAAGGUGGCCUCUGAAUAUGCUACCGCUAGAAGAUGAGCCUGCGUCUGAUUAGCUAGUUGGAGGGGUAACGGCCCACCAAGGCUUCGAUCAGUAGCCGGUCUGAGAGGAUGAACGGCCACACUGGGACUGAGACACGGCCCAGACUCCUACGGGAGGCAGCAGUGGGGAAUCUUCCGCAAUGGACGAAAGUCUGACGGAGCAACGCCGCGUGAGUGAAGAAGGUUUUCGGAUC
Molecule: ribosomal RNA, 366 nt
Filed under: uncultured Anaeromusa sp.
Lineage: Bacteria; Bacillati; Bacillota; Negativicutes; Selenomonadales; Sporomusaceae
Description: partial 16S ribosomal RNA
Rfam family: Bacterial small subunit ribosomal RNA
Source: RNAcentral